RNAcentral lists this transfer RNA (91 nucleotides) under SAR92 bacterium MED-G29. Its description in RNAcentral is "tRNA-Ser(tga)". It matches the Rfam family "tRNA". From Rfam's summary of the family: Transfer RNA (tRNA) molecules are approximately 80 nucleotides in length. Their secondary structure includes four short double-helical elements and three loops (D, anti-codon, and T loops). RNAcentral also lists the same sequence under 7 other names. The record is from RNAcentral. Lineage: Bacteria; Pseudomonadati; Pseudomonadota; Gammaproteobacteria; Cellvibrionales; Porticoccaceae.
GGUGGGAUGGCAGAGCGGUUGAAUGCACCAGUCUUGAAAACUGGCAUACGUUAAUAGCGUAUCUAGGGUUCGAAUCCCUAUCCCACCGCCA